AGAGAGUGCAAGCGUUAAUCGGAAUUACUGGGCGUAAAGCGCGCGUAGGGUGGAUAUCUAAGUCGGGAUGUGAAAGCCCUGGGCUUAACCUAGGAACUGCACCCGAUACUGGGUAUCUAGAGUAUGAUAGAGGGAAGUGGAAUUUCCGGUGUAGCGGUGAAAUGCGUAGAUAUCGGAAAGAACACCAGUGGCGAAGGCGGCUUCCUGGAUUAAUACUGACACUGAGGUGCGAAAGCGUGGGGAGCAAACAGGAUUAGAGACCCUGGUAGUCCACGCCGUCAACGAUGAGAACUGGCUGUUGGGAGGGUCUACCUCUUAGUAGCGAAGCUAACGCGUUAAGUUCUCCGCCUGGGGAGUACGGCCGCAAGGUUA
RNAcentral lists this ribosomal RNA (372 nucleotides) under uncultured organism. Its description in RNAcentral is "partial 16S ribosomal RNA". It matches the Rfam family "Bacterial small subunit ribosomal RNA", at positions 527 to 896 of the family's 1533-position model. The record is from RNAcentral.